GAUGAAGAACUCAGCGAAAUGCGAUAAGUAAUGUGAAUUGCAGAAUUCAGUGAAUCAUCGAAUCUUUGAACGCACAUUGCGCCCCCUGGUAUUCCGGGGGGCAUGCCUGUCCGAGCGUCAUUACAACCCUCAAGCUCAGCUUGGUAUUGGGCCCCGCCGACCCGGCGGGCCCUAAAGUCAGUGGCGGUGCCGUCCGGCUCCGAGCGUAGUAAUUCUUCUCGCUCUGGAGGUCCGGUCGUGUGCUCGCCAGCAACCCCCAAUUUUUUUCAGGUUGACCUCGGAUCAGGUAGGGAUACCCGCUGAACUUAAGCAUAUCAAUAAGCGGAGGA
This 329-nucleotide unclassified non-coding RNA is filed under the name soil metagenome. RNAcentral's name for it is "partial contains 5.8S ribosomal RNA, internal transcribed spacer 2, and large subunit ribosomal RNA". The stretch from base 1 to 120 matches the Rfam family "5.8S ribosomal RNA", at positions 35 to 154 of the family's 154-position model. The record is from RNAcentral.